GACCUUGUAGCUUAGUUGGUAAAGCGUCUUCAUGUUGUAUGACGAGAUACAUUGUUGUAUCGUGAGGAUUAUCGUGGGUUCGAGCCCCACCAAGGUCU
Non-coding RNA from Mycena belliarum, 98 nucleotides. The record is from the annotation of a GenBank genome assembly. Lineage: Eukaryota; Fungi; Basidiomycota; Agaricomycetes; Agaricales; Mycenaceae.